UACGCCGCGUGCAGGAUGAAGGCCCUUGGGUUGUAAACUGCUUUUUUAAGAGGAAGAAUUUGUGACGGUACCUUAAGAAUAAGAGGUUACUAACUCUGUGCCAGCAGUAGCGGUAAUACAGAGACCUCAAGCGUUAUCCGGAUUCAUUGGGCGUAAAGAGCAUGUAGGCGGACAUAUUAGUCAGACGUCAAAUCUUCGAGCUCAACUCGAAAACUGCGUUUGAAACGGUAUGUCUGGAGAGAGUGAGAGACUGAUGGAACAUAUGGUGUAGCAGUGAAAUGCGUUGAUAUCAUAUGGAACACCAAAGGCGAAGGCAUUCAGUUGGCACUCUUCUGACGCUGAGAUGCGAAAGCGUGGGUAGCGAAUGGGAUUAGAUACCCCAGUAGUCCACGCUGUAAACGAUGCAUACUAGGUAUUACGAGAAUCGACCCUCGUAGUGUCGUAGCUAACGCGAUAAGUAUGCCGCCUGGGAAGUACGGCCGCAAGGCUAAAACUCAAAGGAAUAGACGGGGAUCCGCACAAGCGGUGGAGCAUGUGGUUUAAUUCGACGGUAAGCGAGAAACCUCACCAGGGCUUGAAACUAGACUGCAUUGUGGAGAAAUUCACAAGCCCUUCGAGGGUGUCUAGCAGGCGCUGCACGGUUGUCGUCAGCUCGUGUCGUAAGAUGUUCUGUCAAGUCAGGAAACGACGG
Molecule: ribosomal RNA, 691 nt
Filed under: uncultured bacterium
Lineage: Bacteria
Description: bacterial SSU rRNA
Rfam family: Bacterial small subunit ribosomal RNA
Source: RNAcentral